AAGAUACUAGUAAAACGAACAUAACAUUGCCUUGUCAAGACAAAAUUGUAGGUUGAAAUCCUGCGUAUCUUA
RNAcentral lists this transfer RNA (72 nucleotides) under Hemibagrus wyckioides. Its description in RNAcentral is "tRNA-Asp". It matches the Rfam family "tRNA". From Rfam's summary of the family: Transfer RNA (tRNA) molecules are approximately 80 nucleotides in length. Their secondary structure includes four short double-helical elements and three loops (D, anti-codon, and T loops). RNAcentral also lists the same sequence under 1 other name. The record is from RNAcentral. Lineage: Eukaryota; Metazoa; Chordata; Actinopteri; Siluriformes; Bagridae.